GGGUUGUGAGGUUAAGCGACUAAGCGUACACGGUGGAUGCCCUGGCAGUCAGAGGCGAUGAAGGACGUGCUAAUCUGCGAUAAGCGUCGGUAAGGUGAUAUGAACCGUUAUAACCGGCGAUUUCCGAAUGGGGAAACCCAGUGUGUUUCGACACACUAUCAUUAACUGAAUCCAUAGGUUAAUGAGGCGAACCGGGGGAACUGAAACAUCUAAGUACCCCGAGGAAAAGAAAUCAACCGAGAUUCCCCCAGUAGCGGCGAGCGAACGGGGAGCAGCCCAGAGCCUGAAUCAGUGUGUGUGUUAGUGGAAGCGUCUGGAAAGGCGUGCGAUACAGGGUGACAGCCCCGUACACAAAAAUGCACAUACUGUGAGCUCGAUGAGUAGGGCGGGACACGUGGUAUCCUGUCUGAAUAUGGGGGGACCAUCCUCCAAGGCUAAAUACUCCUGACUGACCGAUAGUGAACCAGUACCGUGAGGGAAAGGCGAAAAGAACCCCGGCGAGGGGAGUGAAAAAGAACCUGAAACCGUGUACGUACAAGCAGUGGGAGCCCUGAUUUAUCAGGGUGACUGCGUACCUUUUGUAUAAUGGGUCAGCGACUUAUAUUCUGUAGCAAGGUUAACCGAAUAGGGGAGCCGAAGGGAAACCGAGUCUUAACUGGGCGUUAAGUUGCAGGGUAUAGACCCGAAACCCGGUGAUCUAGCCAUGGGCAGGUUGAAGGUUGGGUAACACUAACUGGAGGACCGAACCGACUAAUGUUGAAAAAUUAGCGGAUGACUUGUGGCUGGGGGUGAAAGGCCAAUCAAACCGGGAGAUAGCUGGUUCUCCCCGAAAGCUAUUUAGGUAGCGCCUCGUGAAUUCAUCUCCGGGGGUAGAGCACUGUUUCGGCAAGGGGGUCAUCCCGACUUACCAACCCGAUGCAAACUGCGAAUACCGGAGAAUGUUAUCACGGGAGACACACGGCGGGUGCUAACGUCCGUCGUGAAGAGGGAAACAACCCAGACCGCCAGCUAAGGUCCCAAAGUCAUGGUUAAGUGGGAAACGAUGUGGGAAGGCCCAGACAGCCAGGAUGUUGGCUUAGAAGCAGCCAUCAUUUAAAGAAAGCGUAAUAGCUCACUGGUCGAGUCGGCCUGCGCGGAAGAUGUAACGGGGCUAAACCAUGCACCGAAGCUGCGGCAGCGACACUAUGUGUUGUUGGGUAGGGGAGCGUUCUGUAAGCCUGCGAAGGUGGCCUGUGAGGGUUGCUGGAGGUAUCAGAAGUGCGAAUGCUGACAUAAGUAACGAUAAAGCGGGUGAAAAGCCCGCUCGCCGGAAGACCAAGGGUUCCUGUCCAACGUUAAUCGGGGCAGGGUGAGUCGACCCCUAAGGCGAGGCCGAAAGGCGUAGUCGAUGGGAAACAGGUUAAUAUUCCUGUACUUGGUGUUACUGCGAAGGGGGGACGGAGAAGGCUAUGUUGGCCGGGCGACGGUUGUCCCGGUUUAAGCGUGUAGGCUGGUUUUCCAGGCAAAUCCGGAAAAUCAAGGCUGAGGCGUGAUGACGAGGCACUACGGUGCUGAAGCAACAAAUGCCCUGCUUCCAGGAAAAGCCUCUAAGCAUCAGGUAACAUCAAAUCGUACCCCAAACCGACACAGGUGGUCAGGUAGAGAAUACCAAGGCGCUUGAGAGAACUCGGGUGAAGGAACUAGGCAAAAUGGUGCCGUAACUUCGGGAGAAGGCACGCUGAUGCGUAGGUGAAGCGACUUGCUCGUGGAGCUGAAAUCAGUCGAAGAUACCAGCUGGCUGCAACUGUUUAUUAAAAACACAGCACUGUGCAAACACGAAAGUGGACGUAUACGGUGUGACGCCUGCCCGGUGCCGGAAGGUUAAUUGAUGGGGUCAGCCGCAAGGCGAAGCUCUUGAUCGAAGCCCCGGUAAACGGCGGCCGUAACUAUAACGGUCCUAAGGUAGCGAAAUUCCUUGUCGGGUAAGUUCCGACCUGCACGAAUGGCGUAAUGAUGGCCAGGCUGUCUCCACCCGAGACUCAGUGAAAUUGAACUCGCUGUGAAGAUGCAGUGUACCCGCGGCAAGACGGAAAGACCCCGUGAACCUUUACUAUAGCUUGACACUGAACAUUGAGCCUUGAUGUGUAGGAUAGGUGGGAGGCUUUGAAGCGUGGACGCCAGUCUGCGUGGAGCCGACCUUGAAAUACCACCCUUUAAUGUUUGAUGUUCUAACGUGGACCCGUGAUCCGGGUUGCGGACAGUGUCUGGUGGGUAGUUUGACUGGGGCGGUCUCCUCCUAAAGAGUAACGGAGGAGCACGAAGGUUGGCUAAUCCUGGUCGGACAUCAGGAGGUUAGUGCAAUGGCAUAAGCCAGCUUGACUGCGAGCGUGACGGCGCGAGCAGGUGCGAAAGCAGGUCAUAGUGAUCCGGUGGUUCUGAAUGGAAGGGCCAUCGCUCAACGGAUAAAAGGUACUCCGGGGAUAACAGGCUGAUACCGCCCAAGAGUUCAUAUCGACGGCGGUGUUUGGCACCUCGAUGUCGGCUCAUCACAUCCUGGGGCUGAAGUAGGUCCCAAGGGUAUGGCUGUUCGCCAUUUAAAGUGGUACGCGAGCUGGGUUUAGAACGUCGUGAGACAGUUCGGUCCCUAUCUGCCGUGGGCGCUGGAGAACUGAGGGGGGCUGCUCCUAGUACGAGAGGACCGGAGUGGACGCAUCACUGGUGUUCGGGUUGUCAUGCCAAUGGCACUGCCCGGUAGCUAAAUGCGGAAGAGAUAAGUGCUGAAAGCAUCUAAGCACGAAACUUGCCCCGAGAUGAGUUCUCCCUGACUCCUUGAGAGUCCUGAAGGAACGUUGAAGACGACGACGUUGAUAGGCCGGGUGUGUAAGCGCAGCGAUGCGUUGAGCUAACCGGUACUAAUGAACCGUGAGGCUUAACCUUACAACGCCGAAG
RNAcentral lists this ribosomal RNA (2928 nucleotides) under Escherichia sp. 93.0816. RNAcentral's name for it is "23S ribosomal RNA". It matches the Rfam family "Bacterial large subunit ribosomal RNA". The record is from RNAcentral. Lineage: Bacteria; Pseudomonadati; Pseudomonadota; Gammaproteobacteria; Enterobacterales; Enterobacteriaceae.